AGGAUAAGCGUCGUUGGGGCAGGUCCUGGGUAGAGUCCAGGUUGGCGGGUCCUGGGGCGGAGUCAGGAUAGGGCGAUCCUGGAAGCUGGGCUUCAGAAGCGUCCAGAUAGGGUCUCUCUCUCUGCCACCCAGGCCAGAGUGCAGUUGACGCAGGGCAGGGGAGCCCCGAAGUGGAGCAUAGUGUGUCCGGAACUGGUGGGUUCUUGGUCUCACUGACUUCAAGAAUGAAGCCGUGGACCCUCACGAGACAGGGUUUCACCAUGUUGGCCAGGCUUGUCUUGAACUCCUGACGUCGUGAUCUGCCUGCUUUGGCCUCCCAAAGUCCUGGGAUUACAGGCAUGAGCCACCGUACCCAGCCACUCUUGAUUAACUUAAUGGAAAUAUUUACAGAGAUUCUUUCUCUUCUGGGUUCUAGCGUCUUAUCUGUAACCUCUGCAGGUGCAGGAAUGAGAGGCAGCAGCCGGGGAAGCCAGGGUCUCCGGAAGUCCUUGUCUCUGGGCGGUGAUCCAGAGAGAGAGAGAGAACACGAUUGUCUCAGCAAUGGGUCUUCUUCUGAGUCUUGAAGGAGCACUUCCAGAGCCUCUCAGUGUUAAACAUCGUGUUGUGAAUGACUCCGUGAGCUCUGACCCAGUGACCUUGGGGAUAAAGGAGGGGAGGUACGGAUAAGCUCUUCGAAUGGAUGUUGCCGGGGUGUCAGUGUUCUUUGAGGGCACAGACUAUGUGUCACUAAAGAAAGAGCCCAGUGCCUUUUCUCAUUGCUCAAGAGAUUGAAGGGGUAGUAAGAAAAGAUGUUAAGUUAUAAACACGUUUCAGUUUUGGUACCAGUUGAACCAAUUUACGUUUUGAAGAGGAAAGAGUCUUGCCUACAAUGUCAGCCCCCGGGUUUUCCUUCUGCUUAUGGAAUCCAGGCAAUGGGCAAAGAGAAAAAGAAAACUAAGGAAUCAGCCAGGUGCAGUGGCUCAUGCUUGUGAUCUUGGCACUUUGGGAAGCUGAGGCAGGUGGACUUCUUGAGUGCAGCAGUUCAAGACCAGCCUGGCCAACAUAGUGAGACCCCGUUUCUACAAAAAAUACAAAAAGUUGCUGAGCAUGGUGACAUGCACCUGUAGUCCCAGUUACUUGGGAGGCUGAGGUGGGAGAACUACUUCAUCCCAGGAGGCUGAGGCUGCAGCGAGCCAUGAUCGUGCCACUAUACUCCUGCCUGGGUGGCAGAGUGAGGCCCUGUCUCAAAAGAAAACAAAAAAGAUAAAAAGAAAACUAGGGAAUCUAGACAGCAUAAGUUUAUAUAUAUAAUAAAGAACUGAGAUAGAAAAAAAAAAAAAAAAAA
Molecule: long non-coding RNA, 1324 nt
Filed under: Homo sapiens (human)
Lineage: Eukaryota; Metazoa; Chordata; Mammalia; Primates; Hominidae
Description: long independently transcribed non-coding RNA 2018, transcript variant 2 (LINC02018)
Source: RNAcentral